AUACGUAGGGGGCGAGCGUUGUCCGGAAUGAUUGGGCGUAAAGGGCGCGUAGGCGGCCCGGUAAGUCUGGAGUGAAAGUCCUGUUUUUAAGAUGGGAAUUGCUUUGGAUACUGUCGGGCUUGAGUGCAGGAGAGGUAAGUGGAAUUCCCAGGGUAGCGGUGAAAUGCGUAGAGAUUGGGAGGAACACCAGUGGCGAAGGCGACUUACUGGACUGUAACUGACGCUGAGGCGCGAAAGUGUGGGGAGCAAACAGGAUUAGAUACCCUGGUAGUCCACACUGUAAACGAUGAAUGCUAGGUGUAGGGGGUAUCGACCCCUUCUGUGCCGCAGUCAACACAAUAAGCAUUCCGCCUGGGGAGUACGGCCGCAAGGUUGAAACUCAAAUGAAUUGGCGG
This 395-nucleotide ribosomal RNA is filed under the name uncultured bacterium. Its description in RNAcentral is "partial 16S ribosomal RNA". It matches the Rfam family "Bacterial small subunit ribosomal RNA", at positions 523 to 916 of the family's 1533-position model. The record is from RNAcentral.